UGUAAAUGUUGCGGCAAGGAGGAGGCUGGAGGCAGUGGAGAUGUCACAUCUGAGGGCAAUGUGUGGUGUGAAUAUUAUACAGAGACUUUGUAGUUUGGAGAUCAGAAGGAGGUGCAAGGUUACUAAAAGUAUUAACCAGAGGGCUGAGGAGGGGUUAUUGUGAUGGUUUAGACAUUUAGAGAGGACGGAGAAAAAUAAGAUGACUUGGUGUAUAAAUCUGUAGUGGAGGAGGAAGAUGGGGUCAUCCUAGGAAAAGUUGGAGGGAAAAGGUAAUUGACAGGAGGUUUUGCAUGCAAGGGAUUUGGACAUCCAGGAGGCAUGUGUGAAUGUUUUAGAUAGGAGUAAGUAGAGGCAAAUUCAAAUUCAAAUUCUGUACACCUAGAUCUGGAUUAGAGAAGACAAAAUUAGUAUCAUCUACAAACAGAACUGGUUAAAGUUCCUGGGAGGCAUUAGGUAGGUUAUUGAUGUAAAUGAGAAAUAUUAGAGGGUCUAUGACAUACUACAAAUAUGUAAAGGUUCAAGAGCCUAGGAUGCCUUACAAGUAUGUAAAGGUCAUUCUUUACUGCAAGCCAUCUUAAAACAUUUCUUGGCAUACCUGCCUUGGCUCAUCAUCCUUCUUAGUGGGUAAUAUAUAUUUUUUUUAAUGUACUGGUCAUCUCCCAUUGAGGUAGGGUGACCUAAAAAAGAGGAAACACUUUCACCAUCACUGUUUUGCAGAGGUGUGCUGUCACUGCAGCUCAAAUGCCCCUCCAAACUGCCAUAUCCCCACCCCUCCUUCAGAAUGCAGGCAAUAUACUUUCCACCUCCAAGACUCAAGACAAGCACAUGAAGGAUCCAGUUACAACUCACAGAAGACCUUACAAAUGGCGAUGCACCGCUUGGAUCAUGCAAGAACUCGUGUCAAUGAAUUAGAAGCUAUCAAAAGUAAGCACAUACAACUGUUACAGCAACAUCAACUCCAGAAACAGCAAGGCAUGCCACAGCCUCCUCAGUCAUGAUAAUACUAAUUUAGUUUUAAUUUUUUAUAGUUAAUGAAGCAUAAAUUGCUCCUGUAGCUGUUAAUCCAUAUUUAGUACAAUACAGGAUAUAUUUUUAUUAUUGAAUAUUGUAUUUAGAUACCUUUUUUUUUUUUUUUUAAUAGUUUUGGAUUAAGAUUAAAGGUGUCCCAGGUAACUCCAUCUUGUCUUCCUUUCAUAAGUUGCAGGACUAAGAUAGUCCUGUUACUUUGUAAUGGAUCUAACAUGUUUGCCAGCUUAUCAGAAUGAGUUUUAUUGAAUAAAUUAUCUUGUAGAAUAGCAUUCUUCUAAAAUAUAAAAUAAUUUCAUUGAUUUGUUUUCUAUUAUUGAGAAGUGAAUGAUAUAGUUUCCAACUACAUUAUAUCUUUUUAUGAGACAAAAGUUUAUCUUGGUUUACAAGUGUUUCUCUAGCAUGUCAACUGCUUUUAUCAAACCUGCAUAAAGUAAAUAAUCUCUAUGUGUUUGAACUUCAUUGGGAUGUGAUUUGUUUGUACAGUACUCCUUAUCAUUGUAUUUCUACAUGCUAAAUUAUUAAGACCUGCAGGAAUAUUACAUUCAAUAAAUUUGAAGGAAAAUGG
Molecule: non-coding RNA, 1594 nt
Organism: Cherax quadricarinatus
Lineage: Eukaryota; Metazoa; Arthropoda; Malacostraca; Decapoda; Parastacidae
Source: RefSeq, a predicted model, not a curated record